AGUGGUGUAGCUCAGCAGUAGACUGCUUUGCCUAGCAUCCAUGAAAUCCUGGUUUCCAUCCCCGUCACUGGGGGAAAAAUUGUGCAAACUAGUUGGAAAAAUAAGGAUAAGGACAACAAAGAUGCAAAUACAGUAAUAAUUUCUGAAUCCUGAAUUCUGCUGCCAACUCUACCUGUUCACCUCGGUGCCUUCAACUCCCUUCUGUCCCUUGUACUGUGCUCUAGCCAUGUUGGCAUUCCAUGACUUCCUCCAGUGCUUCCUGUGGUAGUCUCUCCCUCCUCCCUCCUGCCAUGUCUUCCUAUGCUCUAGACCUUGCCACUUCUUUUCCCUCUGUCUACAACUCACUUCUCUCCCACACCUUUUUCUUGUCUGAUGAAUUUCUACUUAUCUUUUAGACUCCAGCUGGAAAAUUCUACCUCCCCUGAAGCUAUCCAUAACCCCUCAACUUUAGUAAGUGCUCAGUUAUGUAGUUCUAGAGCUGCAAAACUUCCCUAUUGUAAUGAUCAGACUUUGUGUGAUGUGUGAUUUUUUAUAAAAUGCUUUUCUACUAAACUGUAAACUCCAUGAGGACAGAGAUGCUGUUUACUGUGC
RNAcentral lists this long non-coding RNA (591 nucleotides) under Marmota monax (woodchuck). Lineage: Eukaryota; Metazoa; Chordata; Mammalia; Rodentia; Sciuridae. The record is from RNAcentral.